This 469-nucleotide ribosomal RNA is filed under the name uncultured bacterium. RNAcentral describes it as "partial 16S ribosomal RNA". It matches the Rfam family "Bacterial small subunit ribosomal RNA", at positions 28 to 507 of the family's 1533-position model. The record is from RNAcentral.
GACGAACGCUGGCGGCGUGCUUAACACAUGCAAGUCGAACGGAAAGGCCCUGCUUUUGUGGUGUGCUCGAGUGGCGAACGUGUGAGUAACACGUGAGUAACCUGCCCUUGACUUUGGUAUAACUUCAGGAAACUGUGUCUAAUACCGGAUAGGAGCUCCUGCUGCAUGGUGGGGGUUGGAAAGUUUUGUCGGGGGGGGAUGGGCUCGCGGCUUAUCAGCUUGUUGGGGGGGUAAUGGCCGACCAAGGCUGUGACGGGUAGCCGGCCUGAGAGGGUGGCCGGGCACAGUGGGAAUGGGAUACAGCCCAGACUCCUACGGGAGGCAGCAGUGGGGAAUAUUGCAAAAUGGGCGCAAGCCUGAGGCAGCGACGCCGCGGGGGGGAUGACGGCCUUCGGGUUGGAAACUCCUUUCGCUAGGGACGAAGCGUUUUGUGACGGUAACUAGAUAAGAAGCACGGGCUAACUACGUG